GUGGGCUGGUUAGGUAGCUUCGGGCUGCAGUCAAAAGCAGACUGAGGAAGUUCCGUCCACCUUUUGAGGGAAAACUGCUGAAAAGCAGAACGUUGAUAUCAGAAACGAGACCUCUGAAUCUCGAGAACGAGGAUUGAAAAUGAGUUGGGAUUGGGAGGAUGAAACGGAUUGACGUCCCUGUGGGGUGCAAGUUUAAGACGCUAAGACAAAUGCUACCUGAAAACAGAAGACGGACUAAAACCAGCACGC
This 249-nucleotide RNase P RNA is filed under the name Candidatus Aenigmatarchaeota archaeon. Its description in RNAcentral is "RNase P RNA component". It matches the Rfam family "Archaeal RNase P". From Rfam's summary of the family: Ribonuclease P (RNase P) is a ubiquitous endoribonuclease, found in archaea, bacteria and eukarya as well as chloroplasts and mitochondria. Its best characterised activity is the generation of mature 5'-ends of tRNAs by cleaving the 5'-leader elements of precursor-tRNAs. The record is from RNAcentral. Lineage: Archaea; Nanobdellati; Candidatus Aenigmatarchaeota.